Molecule: microRNA precursor, 96 nt
Filed under: Nicotiana attenuata
Lineage: Eukaryota; Viridiplantae; Streptophyta; Magnoliopsida; Solanales; Solanaceae
Description: MIR6152 microRNA precursor family
Rfam family: MIR6152 microRNA precursor family
Source: Rfam by way of RNAcentral
UGGACAGAUUAUCGUAUUCGACUGUAUUCACGGCGUGAAACGGGGGAUUACACUAUUUUUAAACGGAAAGUGAAUCAAUUAACAUAAUCGGCUCCU